Molecule: ribosomal RNA, 933 nt
Filed under: Triticum aestivum (bread wheat)
Lineage: Eukaryota; Viridiplantae; Streptophyta; Magnoliopsida; Poales; Poaceae
Description: partial small subunit ribosomal RNA
Source: RNAcentral
AUGGCGCUGGAAAUCGGCGGCGACGCCAAGAGGCCGCGGCUGCCGGCGGCAGCGGUAGACCACCUCUCGGCGCUGCCGGAGCCGCUGCAGCUGCGCAUCCUCUCCUUCCUCCCGCUCAGGUCCGCCAUCCUCGCCUCGUCCCUCUCCCGCGCCUGGCGCGGCCUCUGGGCGCGCCGCUGGGAGGACGACGGGAACCCUUCCCCCUCCCUCCACCACCACCUCCGCCCGCACUCCACCCCCUCUUCCAACAAGCUCCUCGAGGCCCUCGAGCUGCGCCAGUUCCAGGGCCGGCGCGGGCGAAUCGACCGCUACUCCCUCGUCGUGGACACCCUCGCGAUGCGCGCCCGCGGGCUCGACCGCUACUACCUCGUCGUGGACACCCUCGCGAUGCGCGCCCGCGGGCUCGACCGCUACCUCGCCGCCGCCGUCCGCUGCGGCGUCGAGCUGCGGAGGACGCGUCCGGCGGACACGCCCCUCCUCUUCCACUUCCCGGCGGGGGCCGGACCCGCCCUCGCGCGCCUCUCGCUGCGGGGCAUCGGGGUCUCCGGCCUCCAAGGCAGGGCCGCCCGGCCCUGCGCCGCCCUCGAGGCUGUCCUCCUCCACUCCGUCCGCCUCGACGAUAGGGACCUGGCGAGGAUGCUGGCGUUGUGCCCCCGUCUCCGCGUCCUCGGCCUGUGCUCCUGCACGGGCAUCAGUCGUGUCGUCGUGAUGGCAGUGAUGGGGCUCACCAGCCUCAGGAGCGUCACCAUCGUAGACUGCACCUGCCUCAUCGGGGUGGACUUCACGGUGGUCUCUAGCCUCCGGUCCUUUCGCUACAGCGGUGGUUGUUUCUUCUAUCUGCCCGGCGACGCCUUGUUCGCCGACAUCGACAUCCGUUUCGGCGUCAAGAAAAGCCGCAAUGUCCUCAUCUGCCAGAAGGUGUUCAGUGAGUGA